RNAcentral lists this ribosomal RNA (449 nucleotides) under uncultured bacterium. Its description in RNAcentral is "bacterial SSU rRNA". It matches the Rfam family "Bacterial small subunit ribosomal RNA", at positions 329 to 792 of the family's 1533-position model. The record is from RNAcentral.
UCCCAGACUCCUACGGGAGGCAGCAGUGGGGAAUAUUGGGCAAUGGGCGCAAGCCUGACCCAGCAACGCCGCGUGAAGGAAGAAGGCUUUCGGGUUGUAAACUUCUUUUCUCAGGGACGAAGCAAGUGACGGUACCUGAGGAAUAAGCCACGGCUAACUACGUGCCAGCAGCCGCGGUAAUACGUAGGUGGCAAGCGUUAUCCGGAUUUACUGGGUGUAAAGGGCGUGUAGGCGGGAAAGCAAGUCAGAUGUGAAAUCCUGCGGCUUAACCGCAGAACUGCAUUUGAAACUGUUAGUCUUGAGUAUCGGAGAGGCAGGCGGAAUUCCUAGUGUAGCGGUGAAAUGCGUAGAUAUUAGGAGGAACACCAGUGGCGAAGGCGGCCUGCUGGACGACAACUGACGGUGAGGCGCGAAAGCGUGGGGAGCAAACAGGAUUAGAUACCCGAGUA